This 1276-nucleotide ribosomal RNA is filed under the name uncultured bacterium. RNAcentral's name for it is "partial 16S ribosomal RNA". It matches the Rfam family "Bacterial small subunit ribosomal RNA", at positions 101 to 1381 of the family's 1533-position model. The record is from RNAcentral.
AACAGGUGAGUAACACUUGGGGAACCUGCACUUAAUUUCGGAUAAUCUCAGGAACCGCGGGGUUCUACCGGAAAGGACGUCUUGGUGCUCGGUGGGAGAUGGAUACUCUCGGCGAUAGGGUAGUUGACUCGCGGAUUGUCAGCCCAAGGCAAGGGGUGGUGGCUUGACAAGAGAGUGACAUCUACCCCACUGGAGAGGAGACCCGGUCACAACUCGUACGAGAUGCAGCACAUAGUGAAUACUGGAGCCAGCAGUGGAGACAUGUUGCGACACAUGGGCGGAAUCAUGAUGCAGCAUCUCCGCAUGGGGGAUGUCGGCUUUCGGGGAAGUAACCAACGUUUACGUGUGUAGACGCGUGAGUGCCCGUUCAUGUCUAAAGAAGCACGGGUUAAUUCGGUGCCACCAGCCGCGUAGUUAGUUAGGGUCAGAGCGCAGUCACGAAUUUAUGGGGGUUAAGCGGGUGUAAGGGGUUUGAUAAGUUCGGAAGGGUAAUCCUGGGGUCUAACCGUGGAGCGUGCAUUGGAUACGGAAAACUUGAGGCAGGUAGGGGAGAAUGGAAUUCCAGGUGGAGCGGUGGAAUGCGCAGAUAUCAGGAGGAACACCAGUGGCGAAGGCGGUUCUCUGGUCCGUUCCUGACGCUGAGGAGCGAAAGCGUGGGGAUCGAACAGGAUUAGAUACCCUGGUAGUCCACGCCGUAAACGAUGAGUGCUAGGUGUGGGGGGUUUCCGCCCCUUACUGCUGCAGCUAACGCAUUAAGCACUCCGCCUGGGGAGUACGACCGCGAGGUUGAAACUCACAGGAGUUGACGGGGACCCGCACAAGCGGUGGAGAAUGUGGUUUAAUUCUAAACACCGCGAAGAACCUUACCAAAUCUUGACAUCCUCUGACCCCUCUAUAGAUAAAGUUUUCCCCUUCGGGGGACACAGUGACAAGUGGUGCAUGGUUGUCCUCAGCUCCUGGCCUGAGAUGUUGGGUUAAGUCCCGCAACGAGCGCCACCCUUAAUCUUAUGUGCCAUCAUUAAGUUGGGCACUCUAAGUUGACUGCCGGUGACGAACCCGAGGAAGGUGGGGAUGACGUCAAAUCAUCAUGCCCCUUAUGAUUUGGGCUACACACGCUGCUACAAUGGACAAUACAAAGGGUAGCGAAACCGCUAGGUCGAGCAAAUCCACAUAAAGAUGUUCUCACUUCGGAUUGAAGUCUGCCACUCAACUAUAUGAAGCUGGAAUCGCUAGUAAUCGUACAUCAACAUGCUACGGUGAAUACAUUCCCCGGUCU